AUGGCUCAGAACGAACGCUGGUGGCGUGUCUAUACAUGCAAGUCGAGCGAGGCAGCAAUGCCGAGCGGCGAACGGGUGAGUAACGCGUAAGCAAUCUGCCCCAUAUCAGGAAAUACCCGUGCCAACGCGCGGUUAAUGUCCAGGAGAGUGGCCCUCUGCAUGGAGGGUUGACUAGAGAUUUAUCGGUAUGGGAUGAGCUUGCGUUCGAUUAGCUAGUUGGCGGGGCAACGGCCCACCAAGGCGACGAUCGGUAGCCGGCCUGAGAGGGUGAUCGGCCACAUUGGGACUGAGAUACGGCCCAGACUCCUACGGGAGGCAGCAGUAGGGAAUAUUGCACAAUGGGGGAAACCCUGAUGCAGCAACGCCACGUGUGGGAAGAAGCAUUUCGGUGUGUAAACCACUGUCAUGAGGGAAUAAGGCCCUUAUCCGUAAGGGAUUGAAUGUACCUUGAGAGGAAGCACCGGCAAACUUCGUGCCAGCCGCUGC
Molecule: ribosomal RNA, 486 nt
Filed under: uncultured bacterium
Lineage: Bacteria
Description: bacterial SSU rRNA
Rfam family: Bacterial small subunit ribosomal RNA
Source: RNAcentral